AGGGCUGACUGGAUGGACAGGGAGAUGAAGUCCCAUAGAAUGAAGUUUCUGGGGAGGCCCAAGCCGAUUAGCAUUUAUUGAGAGUCUAGUAUUUACUGUCACUGAAGGGAAUGAUAGCAGAAACCUUGAAUGAGCUCGGAAGGUCCUGGGGACCAGAUUUCCAUCGAAAAGAAAGGGAAUGAGAUGGGGUCACUAUACGCCAGCGGGUGUGGAGCAGGCUGUUGGGGACCCUCUCUAGGGAAUACCAAAUGACGGCCGGACUAGUGCACAGUGCAGCAUCCUGCAAAGACUCUGAGCCCUUCUGCUCCGGGGGCAAGGAGACCAUUGGGAAUCUGGGUCCUCCAGUGGAUUGGCCUGGAAUGGCUAAUUAGAAGCUUGACCUUUCACAUGUCUGGGGAAUGUGAGUCUCCAGAACCCAACAAGAUUGGAACAAGGAAGCUCAUACCCUCAAUGCUGUUGGCAGCCACUCUGUGGCCAUGAGAUCCAGCUUUAAAAUGAUCCUUUGAGUAACAGAGCAAAGAGGCAGAAAGAUACUUGGGUUUUGAUGACUUCAAUGGAUAUUGGAUCAGUCAAUACCCUGAAAUCUGUCCUCUGGAUUCUAGAAGAUCGAACUCGGGUCCUUGCACUUGUGCAACCACUGAGCUAAAUCCCAGGCCCUUGCUGAUCUUAUAAAGGAGAGAAAUGUGGACACAGGAGAUCCAGAAGAUGUGGCAGGAUCCAAGGAAUGCCAAAGAUUGCCAGCAAAACAGCAGAAGUUAGGAAAAGGCCAUGGGACAGAUUCUCUUGCACAUCCUCAAAAGGAACCAACCCCACUAACACCUUGAUCUUGGACUUCUGGCCUCCUGACAUGUGAGAUGGCAAACUACUUAGUUUGUGGUACUCUGUUACAGUAGUCCAGCAAACUAAUACAGAUAAUGUAAGCAAAUACAGUCUGUGAAUCUGAUGACACUACCGAAAAUGUAUGAUUACUGCUUUAUUGUUUGUGAAGAUGUUGUUGAACCGGUUAGUGGAAAAUAAUCAC
RNAcentral lists this long non-coding RNA (1021 nucleotides) under Heterocephalus glaber (naked mole-rat). RNAcentral's name for it is "lncRNA (ENSHGLG00000037146.1)". The record is from RNAcentral. Lineage: Eukaryota; Metazoa; Chordata; Mammalia; Rodentia; Bathyergidae.